This 542-nucleotide ribosomal RNA is filed under the name uncultured bacterium. RNAcentral's name for it is "bacterial SSU rRNA". It matches the Rfam family "Bacterial small subunit ribosomal RNA", at positions 775 to 1312 of the family's 1533-position model. The record is from RNAcentral.
AGUCAAUAGAUACCCGGGUAGUCCACGCCGUAAACGAUGAUUGCUAGGUGUGGGGGGUCUGACCCCUUCCGUGCCGGAGUUAAACACAAAUAAAGCAAUCCACCUGGGGAGUACGGCCGCAAGGUUGAAACUCAAAGGAAUUGACGGGGGCCCGCACAAGCAGUGGAGUAUGUGGUUUAAUUCGAAAGCAACGCGAAGAACCUUACCAGGUCUUGACAUCCACCGAAUCCUGUAGAGAUACGGGAGUGCCCUUCGGGGAACGGUGAGACAGGUGGUGCAUGGUUGUCGUCAGCUCGUGUCGUGAGAUGUUGGGUUAAGUCCCGCAACGAGCGCAACCCUUGUGAAUAGUUGCUACGAAAGAGCACUCUAUUCAGACCGCCGUUGACAAAACGGAGGAAGGUGGGGAUGACGUCAAAUCAUCAUGCCCCUUAUGACCUGGGCUACACACGUACUACAAUGGUCGUCAACAGAGGGAAGCAAGACCGCGAGGUGGAGCGAAACCCCUAAAAACCGAAUCUCAGUUCAGAUUGCAGGCUGAAACU